Molecule: long non-coding RNA, 5155 nt
Filed under: Equus asinus (donkey)
Lineage: Eukaryota; Metazoa; Chordata; Mammalia; Perissodactyla; Equidae
Description: lncRNA (ENSEASG00005025082.1)
Source: RNAcentral
GGUGCCACCACAUCUCUCCUAUCCAGAAGGAGUUGGAGCCAUGUGGGCUCCAGACAUAAAUGGUACUACUGAGGCUGCAGCUCCCCUUCUCCUCCCCUGCUGCUGCCUUGCAAUUUCUGGCCAGAGACUCUCACUGUGCAAAUGUGCCAAAACUCCUCCAUAAGGGAGCAAGAGCUAUGCAGCCUGCAUGAGUCAGCCUCCCCAACCACAGAGGUGGAACUGGGAGGAAAGGGUCCAGGUCAGACUAACCCAGGACUAGCACAGAACUCCAGGAAUUACAACAGAUAUCCACCAUUUGACUUCCUGUAAGUCUCAUAAGGUUGCCACUCAAAAGACCUCACUUGCUCUCCAGUGAAAGAGCUGUACACACCACCUGAGCAAGGCCAGCGAGACCGACUCUCCCAAGAAGAUGAACUAGCACAGGAGAAGUGACACGAUAUGACUUCUGAGGCUAGCUUAUACAAAUGUCAUGCAUUUCUACCUCGUGCUUUGAGGAUACUCGCUGUUGCAACCCAGUCACCGUGCUGUAAAGAAGCCCAAACAGCUACUUGGAGAGACAUCGGGUACCACAGAGCCUCACCCAAGAUCUCAGCUGACAGCCAGCAUCAACCGCCAGACAUAUGAGUGCACAAGCUUUCAAAUGAUUCCAGCCUUCAGCCGCCAAGUCACCCUCAGGCUUUGAGCCCUUUCCAGCUGAGGUUCCAGACAUCCUGGAACAGAGACAAGGCAUCCCCACUGAGCCCUUCCUGAUUUCUGAUACACAGAAUCCAUAAACACAAUAAGAUGGUUGUUAUUUAUACUGCUGUGUUUAGGCUGGUUUGUUACUCAACAGUAGUAACUGGAAUGGGUCAUCACUGGAGAAGAGAAUGAAGAAUGAGACCUGGAGGAGUCCUAAUAUAUUAAGAUUUGCCAAGUACCACCACCCUCGCUUCUGUAUCUCACGGUGUCAAAGAGCUCUCACCACAGCGUAUCACCAAGCCUUUACCUGGGAAUUGUGUGUAUCCAUCUCCAGCCAGUGGCAGGGCUGGGAAUACCAUUUGGCAAUGUGUUGCUGUGAAGGAAACAAAGUGAUCAAAUAAAGAAUGACUGAAGGGAGGGGUGGAAAGUGACCUGUGUUAGAAAUCACAACAGAAAACGCCUCUAGGAUGAGGUGGCAUUAAAGCUGAAACAAGAGGAUGAGAAGAAGCAAACCUGAAAAAGAGGAAGAAUAACACCAAUGCAAGAAGCAACUCCCUACCCAAAAGCCCACAGUGGGUAACCUUAUAGCAUACCUGGCUGAACGGUUGAAUACCAGUGUGGAGGAGGUAGACAUAACAUACAGUUGGGCAGAUCUUUAUAGGGACCAGAAUCCACAAGCCUAAGAGAUUUGAUUUUAUUUUAGAUGCAAGUGAAAGCUAUUAAAUGGUUUUGAAAAGAUAGCUGAAAUGAUCAGAUUCAUGUGGGAUACCAGGCUGUUUGAGUAGAACAAGGGAGAAAGAACAGUGGCGUACACUAAGAUGGCAAUGAGUAUGGAGAAAUAGAUAUAAAAUAUAUAUGUGUGUGUACAUACGUCUAUAUACACGCACACUUUGAGACAGAUUCCAGAAAACGUAAUGAUACAGUCUGGGCAGAAAGUGAGGAAAAGUAGGGACUCAGGGACCGUGCCUAGGUUUUUGUUUGAAGUUAGCAUGUGAACAGUUAGAAUGGAACAGUUUGGAAGGUGGAAUUAUUGAAGUUUUCAUUUAGACAUCGUAAUUGUGGAGACGUCAACCAGUGUUUCUCAAACUUCCCCAAUGAACAGAAUCAUCUGGGGAGCUUAUUACAUAUAUGGAUUAUCAGGUUUUCUGCUGGAAAUUCUGGAUCGGUAGGUCCGAGUUGAGCACAAAGUACUGGAUUUUCUUCACUCUCGGUGGGUAAUAUGCAGCUACCAAAAGAAAGAGAAUGAGGAAGAUCUCUAUCAACUGAUAUAGAGCAAUUUCCAAGAUAUGUUAAAGGCAAAAUUCAAAAGAGUAUCUAUGGUAUGCUAUUUUUCAUGUAGGAAGAAGGGACUAUAAGAAAAUACACACGUAUCUGUGCAAAAAAGAAAUGCAGGAAGGAUAAACCAGAAACCAGUGCAACUGAUUAUCUACAGGAAGCAGAUGGGAACUGGGAGGAAAGGAAGGAAGGACGGGAAUGGUGUAGAAGGGACGAGAAAGAGAUGAUACCUAAGUAUACCUUUCUGUAUACUUUUGAUUAAAACUGAACAGUUUUCACAUACCCAAGUAAAUAAUUAAAAUCAAGAAGCAUUUGGAAGGAUCCCAAAAUGGAACACAAACAGUAACAGGUGAACCUAACUUUACUACAAACACAUUAACAAAAUCACACUGGAGGAAGGGGGAAGAACUAACCUCGGAAAGAACUUUGGAAAAUAGUAUUUUAAUAUAGUGCAAAUAACCAUACACUUAAUAUAUACUACUAAUAAUAUUUAAUAAUAUUAAUAAUACAUUUAUAACUAAUCAUCAUAAUAAGGCUAAAGACAGAAAGAAUUGUACACAGAUAUUGAACUUGUUAGUAAAUUUAUUUUUCACAGGGGCAGAAGUUAACGAUUUUUAAAUAUUUUAUGUGUAUUCUAGAACUGAGCAAAUACAUAAAUGGAUUGUAGAUAAUGAGAAUCAGGUUUCUAAUUGUUAAAGAAAGGAGUUACAAGUAAGUAUAAGGUAAAGGAGGCUAGAAUAAACCCUAUGGUGUUGGAUUGGAAUCAAGGUAUCAGUUUGAACUCAUUCUCAAUUUGAACUCGUGUGUGUGUGUGUGCGCGCGCACGCAUGUGAACACACCCGGACUGAUACAUACAAAAAUAGAAGGAGAUAUUUGUACGUGUGGAUGUAUUCAGAUAUAUUUUCUUAGCUCUGUCUGCUGAAAGGGCAAUGGGGAAGCCUGGGUAGCAAUGAGUACACCUCAUACCAAGAUGCUGGUUUGUAAAUACCAUUAUUUAAGGCAAGGAAUAACAACUCCAUGGAGAAAUGACUGAUCCAAGGCUAGGACAGGGGAAAGUAAAAGAUGGGUCUGGAGCAUUUUUUGUGGUGCCAGAAAGUAAGCUACUACUCAAAAAAUUAUAUGGCUAUGUAGCAAAAACAAGAAAGACAGCUUGAAGGAGUACCAAUCACCAAAUCUGGAACAAUUUGAGAGACAAAAUAAUUAAUGCUAGUGAUGGCUUUUAACCCAUAGAACAAAAUAAAUAUCCACAAGUUUAUACCGAUAUAUGUAAAUAAAUAACCGAAUAAACGCAUAAACGAAGGAGAAGGAACAGCUCUUCGUUACAAUCAGAUCAUAGUUAAUAAAUAUAGAAGGAAUCAUGGAAAUAGAUGAUGAUCAUUUGCAGUAAUUAUUGGAGUCAGGAAUUAUUAAUGGAUACUAAAAUUGGUGUGGGGAAAAGAAACAAGAGCAGAAAUAUUUGAGCAAUCUCAAAUAAUUACAAGGGGAAAAAUAGUAACUUUGCAGUUAUCAUUAUAACCAAGUCAAGUUAGCAUCACCAGUAAUGAAACAUGGAUUUCUUGUGCCUCCUAAUACAGUACACUGAAAAGGACAUAACAUCACUUCUGUGGUAUUCUUGUGAAGAAACACAUAACCUCAGUCUAGCCAUGAGAAAACACCACGGAAACUCAAAUUGAGCAACAUUCUGCAAAAUAACGGGCUAGGAAUCUUCAUUAGUUUAAGGUCAUGAAAGAAAAGAAAGACUGAGGAGCUAUUCUAGAAAAGAAUGAGGAGAUUUGGCAAAUAAAUGCAAUAAAGGAUCCUGGAUUUGAACCUGGACCAGGGGAUCAUAGGAAAUAUUUUCACAUGAGUCUGUUAAUUAGUUAACAGUAUUGUGUCAAUGUAAACCUUCUGGUUUCAAAAUUAUACGGUGGCAAUAUAAUCUGUUAACAUUUGGGAAAGCUGGGUAAAGUGUAUAUGCGAACUCAUGCUGUUAAUGUUUAAAGUUUUUUGGUAAACUAACUCUGAUAAUGCAGUUCUGUGAAAAACUUAGUUUGGAUGUUUCUGAGCCUCUUUUUCGUAUCCCCAUAAAAGAAAGCUCCUCGUUUAGGAAUAAUACUGGUUCAAUGGGGAAGAUAAGAUUUACACAGGUUCAAUCCUAACACUCAGAUAGUAUGGAGUAGGAACAAUCAACUUUGAAUGCCAUUUCGUGACAUUAUAUACUUAAGUGUCAUAAUAAGUAGAAUGCAUAGACUACACAAACUUACAAGUUGAAAAACCAUAGACUCAUAGAAUUGUCUUGUAAUAAAGGCUCUUACUCUUCCAACACCUUAGCUUCAACCUCUGCUAAAAUACUUCAGUGAUAGGGAGUUCAUCAUUUUAAAAUGCAGUCUAUUUUAUUGUUCAAAGGUUCUACUUGUUAAAAUGUUCAUCUUUUUAUCAACCAAAACCUGGUUAAUUGGUCGAAAAUCUUCAGUGUGGAACAGUCUAAUUCCUUUUUCACAGGACAACUCCUAAAAUACUUCAGAACCACCUCCUGGCUCCUUCUGAGUCUUGUCUCACCUCAUCUAUUCCUAGUUCCUUCAGUUACUUCUUAUAUAUCUUAGAUCCCAAACACUUCACUGCACUGAUCACUUUCUUCAGCAUAACUCAUUUGUUCAAUGUGGUACUUUAAGCCUGAAAGGAGUUGUUUACUGUUAUCUGUAAAAAAUUCAGACAUAAAAUUUCCAAUCAGCCAAUAAUGCUUCACCUAACAUGAUCUAUAUACACCACUUGAUAAGCAAAAUUAAAAAUUCCAGAUCAUUUCAUUCGUACAGAGUAAUCUUAGGAUGUCCUUGUCUCUAAUGUGCAGGCAAUGUGAAUUUUCUUUGUGUGCCUCUGUAACUUUGCUCUAUUGCAGGCUACCAGAGGAUGCUCCAGUGAUGCUGCCUAACAGUGAUAUGUAUGUGAUACCUGCUAUGUACUAACAAAUGAGACAUUCAAAGGGAUCCUUUGUUCCCAAGAGACAUAAAUAUACGAAUUUUUAUUCUCUACUUUUUGUGUAUUUCUCAUUUUUAUUAUUCAUCUAUGAGCCCUUAAGUGCAUUCACCAAACUGCAUCAUAAACAUCAAAAUAGAUUACUUCACUUUACCUUUUAUGAGAUUAUUAUACUUAUCCACCAAUAUUUGAGCCCUUAGUCUGGGCAAAUCAUCCUAGCCAGUGAAGUGCAGAGGUUCAGAGCAUGGAG